RNAcentral lists this ribosomal RNA (2149 nucleotides) under Salmonella enterica. RNAcentral's name for it is "partial 23S ribosomal RNA". It matches the Rfam family "Bacterial large subunit ribosomal RNA", at positions 757 to 2802 of the family's 2925-position model. Lineage: Bacteria; Pseudomonadati; Pseudomonadota; Gammaproteobacteria; Enterobacterales; Enterobacteriaceae. The record is from RNAcentral.
UAACACUAACUGGAGGACCGAACCGACUAAUGUUGAAAAAUUAGCGGAUGACCUGUGGCUGGGGGUGAAAGGCCAAUCAAACCGGGAGAUAGCUGGUUCUCCCCGAAAGCUAUUUAGGUAGCGCCUCGUGAAUUCAUCUCCGGGGGUAGAGCACUGUUUCGGCUAGGGGGCCAUCCCGGCUUACCAACCCGAUGCAAACUGCGAAUACCGGAGAAUGUUAUCACGGGAGACACACGGCGGGUGCUAACGUCCGUCGUGAAGAGGGAAACAACCCAGACCGCCAGCUAAGGUCCCAAAGUCAUGGUUAAGUGGGAAACGAUGUGGGAAGGCCCAGACAGCCAGGAUGUUGGCUUAGAAGCAGCCAUCAUUUAAAGAAAGCGUAAUAGCUCACUGGUCGAGUCGGCCUGCGCGGAAGAUGUAACGGGGCUAAACCAUGCACCGAAGCUGCGGCAGCGAACGUAUCACCCAAGACAACUUUACGGAGUUGACGAUUGACGGAGCGAAGCGACGUCAAAGCGUUCAUUAAAGUCGAGUUGGCUUAGGGAUACGUUCGUUGGGUAGGGGAGCGUUCUGUAAGCCUGUGAAGGUGUGUCGUGAGGCAUGCUGGAGGUAUCAGAAGUGCGAAUGCUGACAUAAGUAACGAUAAAGCGGGUGAAAAGCCCGCUCGCCGGAAGACCAAGGGUUCCUGUCCAACGUUAAUCGGGGCAGGGUGAGUCGACCCCUAAGGCGAGGCCGAAAGGCGUAGUCGAUGGGAAACGGGUUAAUAUUCCCGUACUUGGUGUUACUGCGAAGGGGGGACGGAGAAGGCUAUGUUGGCCGGGCGACGGUUGUCCCGGUUUAAGCGUGUAGGUGUGUGUUCCAGGUAAAUCCGGUUCACUUUAACACUGAGGCGUGACGACGAGGCACUACGGUGCUGAAGCAACAAAUGCCCUGCUUCCAGGAAAAGCCUCUAAGCAUCAGGUAACAUCAAAUCGUACCCCAAACCGACACAGGUGGUCAGGUAGAGAAUACCAAGGCGCUUGAGAGAACUCGGGUGAAGGAACUAGGCAAAAUGGUGCCGUAACUUCGGGAGAAGGCACGCUGACACGUAGGUGAAGUGAUUUACUCAUGGAGCUGAAGUCAGUCGAAGAUACCAGCUGGCUGCAACUGUUUAUUAAAAACACAGCACUGUGCAAACACGAAAGUGGACGUAUACGGUGUGACGCCUGCCCGGUGCCGGAAGGUUAAUUGAUGGGGUCAGCGCAAGCGAAGCUCCUGAUCGAAGCCCCGGUAAACGGCGGCCGUAACUAUAACGGUCCUAAGGUAGCGAAAUUCCUUGUCGGGUAAGUUCCGACCUGCACGAAUGGCGUAAUGAUGGCCAGGCUGUCUCCACCCGAGACUCAGUGAAAUUGAACUCGCUGUGAAGAUGCAGUGUACCCGCGGCAAGACGGAAAGACCCCGUGAACCUUUACUAUAGCUUGACACUGAACAUUGAGCCUUGAUGUGUAGGAUAGGUGGGAGGCUUUGAAGUGUGGACGCCAGUCUGCAUGGAGCCGACCUUGAAAUACCACCCUUUAAUGUUUGAUGUUCUAACGUGGACCCGUAAUCCGGGUUGCGGACAGUGUCUGGUGGGUAGUUUGACUGGGGCGGUCUCCUCCUAAAGAGUAACGGAGGAGCACGAAGGUUGGCUAAUCCUGGUCGGACAUCAGGAGGUUAGUGCAAUGGCAUAAGCCAGCUUGACUGCGAGCGUGACGGCGCGAGCAGGUGCGAAAGCAGGUCAUAGUGAUCCGGUGGUUCUGAAUGGAAGGGCCAUCGCUCAACGGAUAAAAGGUACUCCGGGGAUAACAGGCUGAUACCGCCCAAGAGUUCAUAUCGACGGCGGUGUUUGGCACCUCGAUGUCGGCUCAUCACAUCCUGGGGCUGAAGUAGGUCCCAAGGGUAUGGCUGUUCGCCAUUUAAAGUGGUACGCGAGCUGGGUUUAGAACGUCGUGAGACAGUUCGGUCCCUAUCUGCCGUGGGCGCUGGAGAACUGAGGGGGGCUGCUCCUAGUACGAGAGGACCGGAGUGGACGCAUCACUGGUGUUCGGGUUGUCAUGCCAAUGGCACUGCCCGGUAGCUAAAUGCGGAAGAGAUAAGUGCUGAAAGCAUCUAAGCACGAAACUUGCCCCGA